CACGUAGGGAGCAAGCGUUGUCCGGAAUCAUUGGGCGUAAAGCGCGCGUAGGUGGCUUCGUAAGUCCGUUGUGAAAGUCAAAGGCUCAACCUUUGAAUGCCGAUGGAUACUGCGGAGCUAGAGUACGGAAGAGGCGAGUGGAAUUCCUGGUGUAGCGGUGGAAUGCGCAGAUAUCAGGAGGAACACCAAUAGCGAAGGCAGCUCGCUGGGACGUUACUGACACUAAGGCGCGAAAGCGUGGGGAGCGAACGAGG
RNAcentral lists this ribosomal RNA (254 nucleotides) under uncultured bacterium. Its description in RNAcentral is "partial 16S ribosomal RNA". It matches the Rfam family "Bacterial small subunit ribosomal RNA", at positions 524 to 777 of the family's 1533-position model. The record is from RNAcentral.